GGGCUCUUAGCUCAGCUGGUAGAGCAGCGGACUCUUAAUCCGUAGGUCGUAGGUUCGAAUCCUACAGGGCCCACCA
Molecule: transfer RNA, 76 nt
Filed under: Caldimonas manganoxidans
Lineage: Bacteria; Pseudomonadati; Pseudomonadota; Betaproteobacteria; Burkholderiales; Sphaerotilaceae
Also listed under: 3 other names
Description: tRNA-Lys
Rfam family: tRNA
About the family: Transfer RNA (tRNA) molecules are approximately 80 nucleotides in length. Their secondary structure includes four short double-helical elements and three loops (D, anti-codon, and T loops).
Source: RNAcentral